RNAcentral lists this transfer RNA (58 nucleotides) under Boros schneideri. RNAcentral's name for it is "tRNA-Ser". The record is from RNAcentral. Lineage: Eukaryota; Metazoa; Arthropoda; Insecta; Coleoptera; Boridae.
GAAAUAUAAAAAGAUAAGCUUCUAACUUAUUUAAUAGCAACUAAUUGUUAAUAUUUCU